GCCGCGGAGUCGACCGCGGGGGAUGACGGGUCGCGUUGCACGUCAGGAAAUAGAGUCCUGGGCAAUAAGUCCCCGGAAUGUGUCGACGGCGGACUCUGAAGCACUUUGGGAAGUGGAGUCAGAGUCACACACUCACUCCACUCCAGCAGCUGCGAGCCCUAGUUGUGUUUCAAAAAUGUAGUCGCUGCCACUCUCGGUGAGCUUUGUAGACCUGAUGCACGCCGGGAAACAUAGUCCAGACGCUCAUUUAGUCUAUUGGCUGUGUAUGCCGAUCGGAGCUAGGUGCACUGCGGGAAAUUGAGUCGGCGCCCGUGCAUUCGCCGCUAUCGGGCCGCGAGGCGAGUCGGGAAAUGGAGUCGUCGCCACGCCCUCACCGCAUUGCAGGUGUAACGCGACUUCCAAAGCAUGCUGGGAAAUGGAGUCCCAUGUGCUCCCCAAGCCCCAAGAGGACACUGCAAUUACGGAGAUAGGCUAAGAAAUAGAGUAGGGAGGUACAGCGUUCCUCCGCCCUCCUAUGCUAGGCCGCAGUCCCUGCCGGGAAAUGUAGUCAACACCAAGGCUUCAGAGUAGUUGCUACAGUGAGCCUUUGUGUCUUCUGGGAAAUGGAGUUCAAGGCAGCCUCUCCAUUUGACGGGGAGGAAAUCUACCAGGAGCCCGGAGCAUGUUGGGUAAUAGUCCAGCCCGCACCCUGACCCUUUCUUUCUGAGACGAGGAUGCAGAGGCUUGCUGGGAAGUGAAGUUCAAUCGGUACUUUUGGGAAAGCGUUUAGCCAAAGGUGAAAGACAUCAAUCCCUUGGGGGAGACUGCAGAGUGUUCAACGCUUCCUUCCCCUCCCCAGGUCCCAAGAAAGAGCUAAAAUUGAUCAGGAGCCGCAAGAAAAUGGUGUCCAAACAUUCCAAGUUCCAAGUUUCCAAAAUCAGGAAGGAAAUGUCUCCCACAAACAAUAUGGGGAACAAAGUUCCCGGUGGUCUCACAGAACAAUAGUCUUCAAAUACAUUCUAGCUUUUUCUGCCAACCUGGGCUGCACCAAGAGGCUGAGACGAGUAUUAAAAAGGUGAAGACAGAAUUUCCCCUUUCAGUCUUUUGCGUCCUCCGCUUCCUAAGUUUACAGGAUCCAGGAGGGCCCAAAACAAGGAAGCCGGCUGUUGAGAGUAGCCUCGGGUUUUGUGCACGGACUAGGUCGCCCUAUUUAUCGAUGAAUACCGGCCUGAAGAAAGUCUCGUCCACUGGGUCUGACUGCAAUUCCCAGCGGACCCACAAGAUACCCUCCCCCGCCCCCGCUGGGGCCUGCUGACAGUCUCGCCUAGAAGGCGAAAGCUUUCUCGCACUACAAUAACCAAAAGGCAAAGCGCGGACAUACUUCCGCUCCCUUUUCAAUGAACGCGGGUGCAUUAGGAA
Long non-coding RNA from Lutra lutra (Eurasian river otter), 1398 nucleotides. RefSeq lists it as uncharacterized. The transcript has 2 exons. Lineage: Eukaryota; Metazoa; Chordata; Mammalia; Carnivora; Mustelidae. The record is from RefSeq and is a predicted model, not a curated record.